This 372-nucleotide ribosomal RNA is filed under the name uncultured bacterium. RNAcentral describes it as "partial 16S ribosomal RNA". It matches the Rfam family "Bacterial small subunit ribosomal RNA", at positions 338 to 707 of the family's 1533-position model. The record is from RNAcentral.
CCUACGGGAGGCUGCAGUGAGGAAUAUUGGUCAAUGGGCUUACGCCUGAACCAGCCAAGUCGCGUGAGGGAAGACUGCCCUAUGGGUUGUAAACCUCUUUUGUCAGGGAGCAAUUGGCGCUACGUGUAGCGUUAUCGAGAGUACCUGAAGAAAAAGCAUCGGCUAACUCCGUGCCAGCAGCCGCGGUAAUACGGAGGAUGCGAGCGUUAUCCGGAUUUAUUGGGUUUAAAGGGUGCGUAGGCGGAAUGCCAAGGCAGCGGUAAAAUCGCGGGGCUCAACCUCGCGCCGCCGUUGAAACUGGCGUUCUUGAGUGGGCGAGAAGUAUGCGGAAUGCGGGGUGACGCGGUGAAAGGCAGAGUUAUCACGAAGAAC